Molecule: transfer RNA, 74 nt
Filed under: Candidatus Cloacimonadota bacterium
Lineage: Bacteria; Pseudomonadati; Candidatus Cloacimonadota
Description: Candidatus Cloacimonetes bacterium (wastewater metagenome) tRNA-Arg
Rfam family: tRNA
About the family: Transfer RNA (tRNA) molecules are approximately 80 nucleotides in length. Their secondary structure includes four short double-helical elements and three loops (D, anti-codon, and T loops).
Source: RNAcentral
GCGUGCUUAGCUCAGUUGGAUAGAGCAACUGCCUUCUAAGCAGUGGGUCAGAGGUUCGAAUCCUCUAGCGCGUA